Molecule: long non-coding RNA, 1065 nt
Filed under: Sus scrofa (pig)
Lineage: Eukaryota; Metazoa; Chordata; Mammalia; Artiodactyla; Suidae
Description: lncRNA (ENSSSCG00070006258.1)
Rfam family: Eukaryotic large subunit ribosomal RNA (bases 261-363)
Source: RNAcentral
CUGAACGCCUCUAAGUCAGAAUCCCGCCCAGGCGGAACGAUACGGCAGCGCCGCGGGAGCCUCGGUUGGCCUCGGAUAGCCGGUCCCCCGCCGUCCCCGCCGGCGGGCCGCCGCGCGCGCCCGCGUGCGGCGUGUCCCGUCGCGCGUCGGGACCGGGGUCCGGUGCGGAGAGCCCUUCGUCCUGGGAAACGGGGCGCGGCCGGAAAGCGCGGCCGCCCCCUCGCCCGUCACGCACCGCACGUUCGUGGGGAACCUGGUGCUAAACCAUUCGUAGACGACCUGCUUCUGGGUCGGGGUUUCGUACGUAGCAGAGCAGCUCCCUCGCUGCGAUCUAUUGAAAGUCAGCCCUCGACACAAGGGUUUGUCGCUCCCGGCGCCGACGCCGCCACCGUGGCGGCGGCGGUGGUCGGGGGGGGCCGCGGCCGGCUCGCUCGGCUUCCGUGCGUCCGUCUCGCUCUUCCUCUCUCUUCCCGUCCCAUCCCUCCGCGCCGCGGGUCGCGCCCCCCUGCCCGUCCCCGGCGAAGGGGAGCGGGGGUUGGCGGUUCUCGCACGCCGCGUCCCGCGGACGCCCACGGCGCGCCGGGCGGUCGCGGGGCAGGUUGCGCGUCCCGCUGCGGCCUGUCGGGGCGAGAGGGAAAGAAGGGGAAAGCGGGCGCGCCCCUCCAGGCGCCGCCCCCGCGCCUCCGCUACGCGCCUCGCCUCCUCCUCCGCUUCACCCCGCCGGCGGGCCUUCCCAGGGCCCGCUGGGCUGGGACGGGGCGAAGGGGAGUGGUGGGGGGAGGUCGCAUCCCGGAGGCGUGGAGGGGGGAACGUUGGAGGGCCGGCCCUGCGGGAGCCUCUUCCCAGGGGGAAACCGCGGGCCGGGGGGCGUCGUGGGGCCCUGGGUGGCCUCCGAACACGUCCGCGAGCGGGUGCUCCGGGCCGCCACCGGCGUGGGGUGGUGGUCUGUGGGUGCGUGCUCCAGCGUGGCCCUCGCGUGCCUCACUUCCUAAGGGCCCGCGGGGUCGACCAGCUGUCCCGGCCGACUCGGGCCCGGGUCCGAGGGCCCGCGGGGUCGACCAGCUG